AACUCCGGGAAACCGGGGCUAAUACGGGAUGGUUGUUUGAACCGCAGGGUUCAAACAUAAAAGGUGGCUUCGGCUACCACUUACAGAUGGACCCGCGGCGCANUAGCUAGUUAGUGAGGUAACGGCUCACCAAGGCAACGAUGCGUAGCCGACCUGAGAGGGUGAUCGGCCACACUGGGACUGAGACACGGCCCAGACUCCUACGGGAGGCAGCAGUAGGGAAUCUUCCGCAAUGGACGAAAGUCUGACGGAGCAACGCCGCGUGAGUGAUGAAGGUUUUCGGAUCGUAAAGCUCUGUUGUUAGGGAAGAACAAGUACCGUUCGAAUAGGGCGGUACCUUGACGGUACCUAACCAGAAAGCCACGGCUAACUACGUGCCAGCAGCCGCGGUAAUACGUAGGUGGCAAGCGUUGUCCGGAAUUAUUGGGCGUAAAGGGCUCGCAGGCGGUUUCUUAAGUCUGAUGUGAAAGCCCCCGGCUCAACCGGGGAGGGUCAUAGGAAACUGGGGAACUUGAGUGCAGAAGAGGAGAGUGGAAUUCCACGUGUAGCGGUGAAAUGCGUAGAGAUGUGGAGGAACACCAGUGGCGAAGGCGACUCUCUGGUCUCUAACUGACGCUGAGGAGCGAAAGCGUGGGGAGCGAACAGGAUUAGAUACCCUGGUAGUCCACGCCGUAAACGAUGAGUGCUAAGUGUUAGGGGGUUUCCGCCCCUUAGUGCUGCAGCUAACGCAUUAAGCACUCCGCCUGGGGAGUACGGUCGCAAGACUGAAACUCAAAGGAAUUGACGGGGGCCCGCACAAGCGGUGGAGCAUGUGGUUUAAUUCGAUGCAACGCGAAGAACCUUACCAGGUCUUGACAUCCUCUGACAAUCCUAGAGAUAGGACGUCCCCUUCGGGGGCAGAGUGACAGGUGGUGCAUGGUUGUCGUCAGCUCGUGUCGUGAGAUGUUGGGUUAAGUCCCGCAACGAGCGCAACCCUUGAUCUUAGUUGCCAGCAUUCAGUUUAGCACUCUAUGGUGACUGCCGGUGACAAACCGGAGGAAGGUGGGGAUGACGUCAAAUCAUCAUGCCCCUUAUGACCUGGGCUACACACGUGCUACAAUGGACAGAACAAAGGGCAGCGAAACCGCGAGGUUAAGCCAAUCCCACAAAUCUGUUCUCAGUUCGGAUCGCAGUCUGCAACUCGACUGCGUGAA
RNAcentral lists this ribosomal RNA (1193 nucleotides) under Bacillus subtilis. RNAcentral describes it as "bacterial SSU rRNA". It matches the Rfam family "Bacterial small subunit ribosomal RNA", at positions 145 to 1324 of the family's 1533-position model. Lineage: Bacteria; Bacillati; Bacillota; Bacilli; Caryophanales; Bacillaceae. The record is from RNAcentral.